UUUUUGUUACAUAGUAUUGUGGUUGUGAAGACACUCAAUUGAAAUUUUUACUGAAUCUUUUCUAGGACUAAUUUCAUGUCUUAUGAACUAGCAGAGAAAUUUUCCCUUAGGGUAUGCCAGAAGAGGAGCAAGUAGUUUUGAUAAUGAAAUGAGACCUUAAAGAAAUAUUUCUAGAGCAGCUAUAAUAAUUUACAUAAGAAAUGAAUUGAGAUGGCCGGAGAAGAGAAUUGUUUUUCCUCUUUGAAUAUCAGUGUUUUGGGUAAUAAUGGCAGCAUUAACCUAAGAGACCAUUCUAAUUUGCCGUUUUUUCUUGUACAUUAUCAGGAGCUAUCUUUUUAAAUCUGUCUUGUGAUCAAAAUAAUGGAAAUGUGAUUUUUAUUUUCAUGAUAGGAGAUGGAAUAAACUGAGACUGCAGGACAAAGAGAGACGUCUGAAGCUGGAGGACGAUUCUGAGGAAAGUGAUGCUGAAUUUGACGAAGGUUUUAAAGUGCCAGGUUUUCUGUUCAAAAAGCUUUUUAAGUACCAGCAGACAGGUGUUAGGUGGCUGUGGGAAUUG
This 556-nucleotide small RNA is filed under the name Pongo abelii (Sumatran orangutan). RNAcentral's name for it is "retained intron". The record is from RNAcentral. Lineage: Eukaryota; Metazoa; Chordata; Mammalia; Primates; Hominidae.